RNAcentral lists this non-coding RNA (383 nucleotides) under Vibrio marisflavi. The record is from RNAcentral. Lineage: Bacteria; Pseudomonadati; Pseudomonadota; Gammaproteobacteria; Vibrionales; Vibrionaceae.
AAGCUCCAAGGAUAGGUCAUCUUCAGGAAGAAGAUUCGAUUGUUCACUCAGGACGAACUUUCGGCAAGGAAUGCAAAAGUGUGUUAACGAAAAAUUUAGCUAGGAUGGUUAGAGUUUGAGUUAACAGGCACACUUCAAGGACCGAAAUACCCUAUCAGGAUGAUAGGUCAAGGACACCGCUUAAGGAAUAAGCGAUGGGAGUUAGCGAGGAAGGCUAACGGGCCGGAGUGCCGAGGACACCGCUAGGAUGGCGAUGAAACGGACUAAGCUGAAGGAUUCAGCGUACUAUCAAGGAAUAGAUGCAGGGAGCACCUAUUAGUAGCCGGAUUGCUGCGAGUAAGAAAUGAAACCCCACUAGUUAUCUAGUGGGGUUUUUCUUUUCU